AGGGUGACAGCUGUCCUGGUUUGCCUGGCACUGAGGGCUUCCCGGGAUGUAGUAUUUUUAGUGCUA
Molecule: microRNA precursor, 66 nt
Filed under: Pteropus vampyrus (large flying fox)
Lineage: Eukaryota; Metazoa; Chordata; Mammalia; Chiroptera; Pteropodidae
Description: miRNA (ENSPVAG00000029225.1)
Source: RNAcentral